CCUACGGGUGGCAGCAGUAGGGAAUCUUCCGCAAUGGACGAAAGUCUGACGGAGCAACGCCGCGUGAGCGAAGAAGGUCUUCGGACCGUAAAGCUCUGCUGUUAGGGAAGAACAGGUACGGGAGGAAAUGACCGUACCUUGACGGUACCUGACGAGGAAGCCACGACUAACUACGUGCCAGCAGCCGCGGUAAUACGUAGGUGGCAAGCGUUGUCCGGAAUUAUUGGGCGUUAAGCGCGCGCAGGCGGUCUUUUAAGUCUGAUGUGAAAACUUGCGGCCCAACCGCAAGCGGUCAUUGGAAAAUGGGAGACUUGAGUGCAGAAGAGGAAAGCGGAAUUCCACGUGUAGCGGUGAAAUGCGUAGAGAUGUGGAGGAACACCAGUGGCGAAGGCGGCUUUCUGGUCUGUAACUGACGCCGAGGCGGGGAAGCGUGGGGAGCAAACAGGAUUAGAUACCCCGGGAGUC
RNAcentral lists this ribosomal RNA (465 nucleotides) under uncultured bacterium. RNAcentral's name for it is "bacterial SSU rRNA". It matches the Rfam family "Bacterial small subunit ribosomal RNA", at positions 338 to 795 of the family's 1533-position model. The record is from RNAcentral.